This 195-nucleotide ribosomal RNA is filed under the name uncultured bacterium. RNAcentral's name for it is "partial 16S ribosomal RNA". It matches the Rfam family "Bacterial small subunit ribosomal RNA", at positions 338 to 524 of the family's 1533-position model. The record is from RNAcentral.
CCUACGGGAGGCAGCAGUGGGGAAUAUUGGACAAUGGGGGGAACCCUGAUCCAGCCAUGCCGCGUGUGUGAAGAAGGCCUUAUGGUUGUAAAGCACUUUAAGCGAGGAGGAGGCUACUUUAGUUAAUACCUAGAGAUAGCGGACGCUACUCGCAGAAUAAGCACCGGCUAACUCUGUGCCAGCAGCCGCGGUAAU